GGGGAAGCUGACUCUGGAGUUAACAGGCCCAGCCCUGGGGGAUCCUUGCGGGGAUCCUUGCAGAGUUUCAGCAGGUAAGGCCACUGCCAGGGCCUCAUUCUGCCAGGCCCAUUUUAGGGCCCUAAAUUGCCAUCUUUUUCACAUCUGAAAGGACACUGGAGGCAGCACCCAGAGGCACUCAGGGCAAGCCUGAACCUUCUGUAUUCACAGGACUGAAAAUCAGCUGGGAACGUGAAAGGCAAGGGGCUCCAGUCCCUCUGCCUCUGGACCACGCGUGCAGGACAUGAGGCUGCCACAGGAUCAGCUCUGAAAGCUGAGUCCUCAGAGUCCUUGUGAAGGAGGGAAGCUUACCUGCCUGGGAACCUGGAAAAUCCUGCCUGAACCUCUCAUGGUUUAUAAAUGAGAAGGGAGAGAAUUGCUAUCACAUUAGAAGGCAUAGAAAAUCCUUAAAACAAAUAAGUAAUAAGAGAAGCAAACUCCACUGGAAUGUAAAAUGAAUUAUAAAGCUACCAUGCUGAAGAGAGGCAAAUACUGGCCCUAGGAUGAAAAGAUUCAUGAACACAGUGGAAAGUACAGAAAGAGAACCACAGGGACACUGGAUCAACACCCAGGGGCACUCUGAGAAGGCCUGAACCUGCUUUAUUGACAGGACUGAGGGUCAGGUAUGUUGGUGGGUCUUGGACUUCCCUCCAAGGUAAAUGGCUGUGUGUGUGUGAUCCUGGGUGAGUGUGUAUGUGUGUAUGUUUCUCUGUGUGUGUGCACACGUUCCUCUGUGUGUGAUCUCUUUAUUAGAGGAUUUCAGUUCAUUGAAGUACAAGUGUGAGUUGUUUUUUUUUAAGUAGUGCCGGGUGCUAUGUCAUGCAAUAGUUGAGAUAUACUAAACUAAACACUUAUUUAUCUGAACUUCCAAAUUUCCUGGAUAUUGCAUAUUUUAUUUAGCAACUGUACCCCCAAAAAGCAGACUGAUAUCUGCAGUGAACCUGGAUUCACAGAUGGAGAUACAGGUGAUAAAACAAGUAUGUUAAAAUAAUUGUGAAAAUUCAGUAGUGCAUACACAGAUUUUCACCUCUUCUAUAACAAGUAUGUUUAGACACAUUUAAAAUAUGCAUAAUAAGAUGGAGAACAUGUCCCUCUUGGGUGUUGUGUUGGCCAGGCUCAGAGAAUUCCGUUUCUGCUGUCAUCAGAGCUGGGAAUGAGAAAGACUGGGGGCUCCAGGUGGUCUCCCACUGCCUCUGGACCACACGUGCAGGACACGAGGCUGCCGCAGGAGCAGCUCUGAAAGCUUGAGUCCUCAGGGUCCUUGUGAAGGAGGGACGCUCACCUGCCUUGGAGCCUGGAAAAUCCUGCCUGGGACAGAACUCUCAUGGUUUAAAAAUGAGAAGGAAGAGAAUUACCAUCACAUUAGAAGGCAUAGAAAAUCAUUAAAACAAAAAACUAAUAAGAGAAGCAAAUGUAAAAGGAACUGUGCUGAGGAGAGGCCAAUAUUGGCAUGAGAAUGAAAAUAUUCAUGGAAUGCAGUGGUAAGUCCAGAAACACAGCCACGAGUAUGUAUAAUUUUAUCAUGUCAUAAAGUUGUAUGUUAAUAUCCACAAAGAAAUACUUGAUUAAUAUUUUCUUCUUUGGGAAUUGACUUGCCAUAUGGAAACACAUAUUCUUGGCUUGCUAAAUUAAACAGCACAAAUAGAAAUUUAGUUGUAAUAAAACUGAAAACAGGAAAUCAUUAGACUUAAAUGAUGAUGAAUUGCAUACUAAUUAUAGGUGACAUUGUUCUCUCUGAGCCUGACAUCAUAAUAGAGACCUUAGAAAAAUUAAUAGAUUUUAUUAAAAGUAAUAUACAAAGUUCAGUUCACCAACAGGUGCCCAAAAUAAAUAAUAGCAAAUGAAGAGAAAAAUUUUCAACACGUUUGAUAGAAGAGCACUGUCUCUAAAAUGGUGUAUAUCAAUUCUCACAAACAAAUAAGAAAAAUUAAUACCUCAAUGGAAGAAGAGGCAAAGAGUAUGAAAAGGCAGUUCACAAAAGAUGUAUAAUCAGCCUAUAAAAUUGUAAAAUAAUGCUAGUAUUCAUAAAGAUAAGAAAAUGCAAAUGGAACAAAUCUCACUUUCUGAACUCCAGAGCUUGGAUUGAAAUUGCGAUCAAAUUAAAAUAUACGACUUAGGGAAUGUUACAUAAACCCUCAAUUCUCAUCUGCUAUAUUCAAUGGUGCUUUAAUCUGUCAAUAAGGUAUCUGUGAGGAUUCAAUAACAUAUGCAUGUAAUAUACUGACUUACUGGUACAGUAACUACCACAAAGUCAGUACCCAAUUUGCCAUCAGUAUUUUUAUUAUUACUAUGGUAAUUAUUGUAUAAAAAUUCCAGAUAUAUCAAUAUCAAGUAAUGAAUCAAAUAUUAAUGAAAUGGUAUGAAUAUCUUUGUGCAUACUCCGAAGUAUGUUCACCUUUCCAAGUAAGACACAAAAUCCAGAUGCCAGAAAAUAAAAGAUUGAUUAAAAUGUAUAAAAACCGAUUAUCACAGCAAAAAAUAAAUAUGACAUUCCAAUAGAAACAGUGCAUACUGCACAUAUGACAAACAAAAUACGUAUUUCUGAAAUAGUGAUAGACGUCUGAGUGAAUAAGAAAAAGUGAAAAAGCUCAACUGAACCGAAAAAGAUAUUGUUGCCUAUAGGAUGAGAGAGAGAAGAGGAAAGAGAAUUCUAGAAUGGAAGUUAAAAUCUCUGAAUCUAUCAUGUUUUAUAAUUUUUGGCGUCAGUUCCAUGUAAAUGUUUCACAGACACAAAUCAAAUCUACACAACAAACUUCCAGAAUAUAAAACCAAAGAUGGAACAAAUAAACCAGGUGUAUCAAUGUCGAUGAUUUUGGUGAAAAGUAUUAUGAUUGUGUGCCCAAAAAAGAAAGAGGCAGGAAGGAAGGAAAGAAGGAAGGAAGGAAGGAAGGUAGG
Long non-coding RNA from Cebus imitator (Panamanian white-faced capuchin), 2934 nucleotides. RefSeq lists it as uncharacterized. NCBI's taxonomy places the organism in Eukaryota, Metazoa, Chordata, Mammalia, Primates, Cebidae. The transcript is spliced from 3 exons. The record is from RefSeq and is a predicted model, not a curated record.